UUCUGCUGCUAUCUCAUAUGCACACUCACUCACACACUAUCUGUUCCUCUGCUUCCUUUCCUUCAUUCCCUCUUUCUCUUUUUCAUUUCUUCCUUUCCACUUCCAGCUUCCCCUUCUUUCCUUUGUCUGGUUAAUAUCAUAGAGGGUAGUUUCUUUGAAGAUAUAUAUAUUUUUUAAGGGUUACAAGCAGAGUAUUACAUAUAUUUAGGAAAAUCAACAUGGGAAAUCAUACAAGGCAUUAGAGAUACACUUAGUUACAUCUCGGAUGUUCCUUUAUUAGUGUAUUACAUGUAAAGAAGUUAGUUUGGCAUAUGUAUUUUCAGAUUGAUUUUUUAUUUUUAUGUUUUUCUAUUUAUAUUUUUAUGCUUUUUGUUGUAUUUCCAGAAUACAUAUAUCAUUUGUAUCUCAGAAGAUUGUGCAUUGGCAUAUUAAUGUUUUAACUAGUGUCUUAAGGUAUGUGCAUUGACAGUCUGUAUUAUUUUGUGAUGAUGGUCAUUAUAACUUCAUAUGGAAAAGAAAAGGGAGACAUCUUGUCCUCUGGCUUGUACAGUUCAUACUUAGAAUUUAACCUUUAUGAUUAAGAUGAUGAUAUUUGAGAUAACACCAUGUGAAGAGAAAUACAUCAUUUUGUAAUGGUUAAAUCACGUUCAUAUAUUAUUUGGCUCUAAUGUUGCCGAUUCGGUGAACUUGUGUAGACCCCUCAACCAGCACCUGUAGUGUCAAUACUGAAAUGUAAUACCCUAACAACAAACAUGCUUUAAUUGGGAGACAUAGUUGAAAUAAGAUGUAAGAAAAAAAUGUUUGUGGAGACUUGUUUAUUUAUCAGUGUUAUUCAGACAAGGGGGAAAAUAGAAACUUUGAGUAUAUACGAGACACAUGCUUUGUGCAUUCCGUUUAGUUUUUCUUUUUGCCUGAAAAAUGUGCAUUAUGUUUCUUAUGCUUGUUGAAUUAGUGUAAGCUUGUUUGGUUUAACAGCAGGCAAGUGUUGUAGGACCCAAAUCUGGGAGGGACUUUAUCUGUAAGUACUGUUCACUUUCAUCAGUUCAUGUCAUUAAAUGAAUCUACAUAAUCAAAUUUCAUUAGUAAAUUUCAGAGUAUUUUGUCUGUUCUUUUUACAAGCUAGUACAGUGAAACUUUCUUUUACCUUUUAAAUAGAGGAAUAUUUAUGGUACCAAAUAUAUUGCUAAAAAUGGAAGCCGUGAUGGAUAUUGUAAGUCCUGUAAGUUGUAAAUAUGAAUUAUUUCAAGGUCUUAAGUAGGUUUAUGGAAAUGAUAGAAUUAAAUUAAAAUACCAUCCUAUAAUGUGUUUGGAAAAUUGUGCUGCUUCUACAGGAAAGUUGCCUAGUAAAUGUGAGUCUGUUUUCCAUAUUUGUAAUGUUUGUGUAAGGUAUACUGUCCAUGGCUGAAACAAGAUUUUGAUGUGUUGAGAAGUAUUCAAGCAAUGACUUAUGACUUUGAAAGCUCAUUAUUAUUUUAAAUAGUGUAACAUUUCCCCCAAUGAUGUGUCCUAAUUGACAAUCUGCUUCCAUUAUUAGGCUUUAUAAUGCUUCCCGUUAUUGUGAUGUCUGCAACUUUCUCUCUAUAUAAUUUGAUUAUCAGAAUGUGUUAAUAUCAGAGAAAUAAAGUCACUGUCCCAUACUGACAUGUAUAAUAAGAAAACCACUGCUCCAUACUGUAAAAAUAAUGUUUCAUAAGAUUCAUAAGAAUUGAAUAUGUUUUUGAUGUUUAAUUACAUUUAGAGUAAAAUAAAAUAUUUGCACAUGUGCCUUCCAGAGGCAGAAGAUAAGCCAUAGGAUGUCCAAAAUGUAAAUUUAAUAAUUGAAAUCCACCUCAUCUUGGGUUUAAUAUUAUUAUUAGUAUUGUGCCUCUACUCAUGAGCUUAUCAUUACUGUAAGUAUCCUACAAUCAUUCCACAUCUGUACUUUUUGUGAAUGAUUUCUGAGUGUUUUUGUCUUUUUUAAAACUGAGUGAUGGUAUUUUGUGAGGCAACAGCGGACUUGUGGGAUCUACAUAAACCUGAUAUUACUAUGAUUAUUAGUGAUGUAACAGUCUAUUGCAGAAUGUCACAAGGUUUGUAUAUGAUGUAAAUAUUGUAAUGUGUAAAAAAAAUGUAUUUUAUUUUCCCAUAAUUUGAAUGAUUCACAGUCUUUUCAUGUAUUGGAAUUAAUAAGUUUCACUUGCUUGUUCACUGAUAAUAACAGUAAAUCCAUUAUUCUUAAAAUCAAGUCAUAUUAAAAAAUAAUUUCUGUGUUACUUAACCUGUUGGUGAUUUAGACUCGUAUGCGAUAUGUUUCUUAACCUAAACCCAUAUUUAGACAGAUAUUUGCAUACACACACUAAUUUUACUGGAGAUAAAUAUUGCAUUAAAUUUCAAUGCAUUAACCCACUCAAUCUGUGAUGAUGCCCUAUUGCAUCAUGGCAGAGUAGUGACCCUCAUACUGGGAUGAGGGCCUAUUGUGUCAUGUGCAGUCGGGCCUAUUCUAUUGUGCACACUAAAUAGUUAGUUUGCUUGUGGUCAUUGAGGUAAACCCAUUAAAAAUAACCUUAUAACUUCUUUUAAGCCUCAUUACCUAAACAGUCGUUUGCGCUGUAGCCAUAGAGUAAAAGGCAAGAUAAAUGUUUCCUGCAUUUCUCAUUCUUGAGCAGGUUACACAUGCUGGUGUGUGGUUUGGUAUAGCACUGAGCUCUCUAUGUGAAUGUGUUUAAGCCAUUCAGAAACUUUAAAUUAUUUAUUAACAUAAAUCAUAUAAAUAAAACUAAUAAUGAUAAAAAAGUACUAAGCAUUACUUGAAUCGGAUUAAGAUAUACCUAAGCCAUUUAUACAUGCCAAGUUUUUUGUUCUAGUUUAAUAGUUAAUGGUUUAAAAGCAAAAUAAAUGUGCUAAACAUAAAAAAUCGUUUAGCACUUUAGGAAGGCAUAGUAUCAGAAAGGGUGAAGAGGGAACGAGUUAAUGAUUAGGGGUUACAUGUCAACAGUUGUACAGCAGUAGGAUAGUAUUGGAAAGGGUAAAGAUGGGUAAAGGUGGAGAGGUUGAGUAAAUGGGUUAAGCUAGGAAUAAGUAAAGAGGGAAUAAGAUCAAGUGAAAGAACUGUCUGCAUCUGAGGAAGGAGAUUAAGUUGUCAAAGGAGAAAAUGGAAUUCCUUUAAGAUGUCUUAAUAGGUUGGGAGGACAGGUGAGGGAAAGCUGAGGUACGGGCUGCAUUAUGAAUUUAGAAUCACUUGUAAACAUGGGUACUGGAGGAGUAAGUGGAGACAUGGUCAAGGAAAUGAGUGAGAUGGACAGAUGGGGUAAGGUAUAAGUUACAGAGCAGCAAAAUAAAUAAAAAGGGGAAGUAGGAGAUUGGGAAAGAAAAGUAUCUAUGUGAAUGGAGAAAGGAACAUGAAGAAAAAGCAAAGGUAGUAAGUAGCAAUUGAUGUUUAGUUAGUUUGGUGAAGGAACACGGGUGGAAAUGAGCAUAGCAUUGGAGAGAAAGAAGGGCAUGGCAUCAAGAAAGAGAUGGCAUGCCUGACUGUGCUUACAGGCUCUCAACUGGAGAGGAGCGGAUUAAGGGUUAAGCAAAGACCGCAAUGGUGGAAUGUAUCAAGAUGAGCAAAAAGGGAUGUAGAGGAAGAAGAGCAGAUAUAGCAUCCAUAAUCAAGGGUAAAGAAGAUCAGGGUAACAUGAAGAUGGAGGAGAGUUUUAUGGUCUGAACCCCAAGAUAUAUUAGAGAGAGACAGCAGUGAGCUUUUUCUUUUAUAGUGAAGAUGUGGCCUUGCCAGGACAGGUAAGAGUAAAAAAUAAUACCUGGGAACUUGCCAGAAGGAUGGUAUUAAAGCAUAGAAGAAUAGAAAUUGGGGACCUACACAUGUGCAAGAGAAAAGGAUGGAGAAGGAUAUGGAAGUAGAAAAGCAAAGUCAGUGAUUAGUGGCCCAGAAAGAAACUCAUAAUACUGUAGAUUUCAGGAGUUGGCAAAGAGCAGGUAUGGAUGGGCCAGAGGUAAAGAUGGUUAAAUCAUUGACAUCUAGUGAUGACUGGCCCCCUGGUGACAGAACUGAAACAAAAGUGAAUUGAACUGAGGAAAAGAAGAUGGUGUGGAAGAGGCAAUUUUGACACAGGGAGAGUGCGGUUGGCCCUGAUGGCAUGGCUGACAUGAAGACAGCCUUUCAACCUUUCAGCACAGCUCUUACACCUUAGGAAAUGGACAGAAGAAGGGGAUGAUGAAGAAAAGGAAUGAAAAGGGGAAGAAGCAAAGACCAUGCAAAAUUAGUUGAGAUGAGGGCUGAACUCCAAAGGAAUUCUGAUCCCCUAUAUUGUCUCCAUCUCCUAACCCCAUCCACAACAAUGAGCAAGGGAUUAGGGGGGCCCACAUGACAAAACCAAUUGAAAAUCAGAUGGUAAUUAAAUAAUGACAUUGCUGAAAAACAAGUAUCCAUGUGUGCAUGGAAAAAAAAAAAAAAAAAAAAAAAAAGAUAUUGAAAAGACAUUCUGGGAAA
This 4471-nucleotide long non-coding RNA is filed under the name Penaeus chinensis. RNAcentral describes it as "uncharacterized LOC125033521". The record is from RNAcentral. Lineage: Eukaryota; Metazoa; Arthropoda; Malacostraca; Decapoda; Penaeidae.